Molecule: transfer RNA, 73 nt
Organism: Clunio marinus
Lineage: Eukaryota; Metazoa; Arthropoda; Insecta; Diptera; Chironomidae
Rfam family: tRNA
About the family: Transfer RNA (tRNA) molecules are approximately 80 nucleotides in length.
Source: Rfam
ACUGGCGUAGCAUAAUGACAAAUGCACUAGUCCGGUUAAUUAGAGAUUGCUGGUUUGAUUCCAGUCGUCAGAA